Molecule: ribosomal RNA, 292 nt
Filed under: uncultured bacterium
Lineage: Bacteria
Description: partial 16S ribosomal RNA
Source: RNAcentral
GGACUACCAGGGUUUCUAAUCCUGUUCGCUCCCCACGCUCUCGUGCCUCAGCGUCAGUCUCAUACCAGGUGGCCGCCUUCGCCACCGGCGUUCCUUCCGAUCUCUACGCAUUUCACCGCUACACCGGAAAUUCCGCCACCCUCUCAUGGACUCUAGUUCAACAGUUAGCGCUGCUCUUCCCAGGUUAAGCCCGGGGCUUUCACAGCACUCACAUCAAACCGCCUACGCACCCUUUACGCCCAGUAAUUCCGAUUAACGCUCGCACCCUCUGUAUUACCGCGGCUGCUGGCAC